GAGUUUGAUCCUGGCUCAGAAUGAACGCUGGCGGCGUGCCUAACACAUGCAAGUCGUACGAGAAAUCUCCUGCUUGCAGGAGAGAGUAAAGUGGCGCACGGGUGAGUAACACGUGGGUAAUCUACCUCUGAAUUUGGGAUAACGUUCCGAAAGGGAUGCUAAUACCGGAUAAUAUCCGAGAGUCUAAGGGCUUUCGGUUCAAAGGGGGCCUCUACAUGUAAGCUUCCGUUUGGAGAUGAGCCCGCGCACCAUUAGCUUGUUGGUAAGGUAAAGGCUUACCAAGGCUACGAUGGUUAGCUGGUCUGAGAGGAUGACCAGCCACACUGGAACUGAGACACGGUCCAGACUCCUACGGGAGGCAGCAGUGAGGAAUCUUGCGCAAUGGGGGAAACCCUGACGCAGCAACGCCGCGUGAGUGAAGGAGGCCUUCGGGUCGUAAAGCUCUGUCAAGUGGGAAGAACCUAUUUCGUGCUAAUAUCACGAGAUAAUGACGGUACCACUAAAGGAAGCACCGGCUAACUCCGUGCCAGCAGCCGCGGUAAUACGGAGGGUGCAAGCGUUAUUCGGAAUUACUGGGCGUANAGGGCGCGUAGGCGGCUUUUUAAGUCAGGCGUGAAAUCCCGGGGCUAAACUCCGGAAGUGCGUUUGAAACUAGAAAGCUUGAGUACGGNA
Molecule: ribosomal RNA, 672 nt
Filed under: uncultured delta proteobacterium
Lineage: Bacteria; Deltaproteobacteria
Description: bacterial SSU rRNA
Rfam family: Bacterial small subunit ribosomal RNA
Source: RNAcentral